This 253-nucleotide ribosomal RNA is filed under the name uncultured bacterium. RNAcentral describes it as "partial 16S ribosomal RNA". It matches the Rfam family "Bacterial small subunit ribosomal RNA", at positions 524 to 776 of the family's 1533-position model. The record is from RNAcentral.
UACAUGGGGUGCAAACGUUGCUCGGAAUCAUUGGGCGUAAAGCGCACGUAGGCGGUUCGUUAUGUCGGAUGUGAAAGCCCUCGGCUUAACCGGGGAAGUGCAUCCGAAACUGGCGAGCUUGAGUACUAAAGAGGGUCGCGGAAUUCCCGGUGUAGAGGUGAAAUUCGUAGAUAUUCGGAGGAACACCAGUGGCGAAGGCGGCUCACUGGCUCGGUACUGACGCUGAGGUGCGAAAGCGUGGGGAGCAAACAGG